Molecule: long non-coding RNA, 605 nt
Organism: Alexandromys fortis (reed vole)
Lineage: Eukaryota; Metazoa; Chordata; Mammalia; Rodentia; Cricetidae
Exons: 2
Source: RefSeq, a predicted model, not a curated record
GCAUCUUGAAGAUGAUGUGGGUGUCCAGGAGCAUGGCAAGAAAAAAAAAAAUGUUCCAAACUGUGACCUCCAUGCUCACUCCAUCCUGAGCUGUUAUCCUGGAAAAAUGGUGCCAAACUCCAAUCAAAUUCAUUCUCCCCGGGUACUGGAGAGAUGGUUCAGUGGUUAACAGCACUGCUGUUCUUGGAGAGGACCUGAAUUUUGUUUCCAGCAAUUACAUCUGGUGGCUCACAGCCCUCUAUAACUCCAGCUCCCAGGAGAUCUGGCACCCUCUUCUGGCUCCCAUAGCACGAUCUUGACCACUGGAUGGGCUUUAAUGGAUUCUUCCCCCAAGAAGAGCUGUUUGACAUUUGAGCUCACGAGGAGCUGCAUCCCGUCUUCUUUUAAAACAGAGCUCAGGCAGUCUAUUUCUUAGAAGAUUGAUGAGUUUGUACUGGCUGGAAGAGGAUGUGUCUCGAGAGGAUGCUGGGGAGAAUUAAAAGAGCAUUAAUCACAAGACUAGAGUGCUGGUCUGAGCUCAUCUCCUGGAUGUGAACUGGGACAUGCCCCUUAACCCAGCCACACCCUAGGCUCACCAAAAAUAAAACACUGUGUAGUCUUCUCUA